AUCUUUGAUCUCCCCUCUGGCCCGUCAUGGACUAGUGCAGGGCCGGCGCUCGGAUAGUGCCGGCCCUGCAUGGACUGGCCGGGGAGAUCCUGUGACCUCCCCUGUCGGCCUCGACCCAUGGCCAUCGCGGCCCACUGAGCAUUUGCCUGGUGUGCCCGGUGGCCAGUCCAGGCCUGCUCCAAGUGAGGUCUCACCAGUAUUCUGUACAAUGGCAUGAACGCUUCCCUCUUCCUACUGCUAAUACUGCUCCCUAUACAACCAAGCAUUCUGCUAGCAUUUCCUGCUGCUCUUUUACAUCUGCCUACCUUUAAUUCAUCAGAAAUAAUUACCCCUAAAUCCCUUUCCUCAAAUGUUGAGGUUAGGACUCUAUCAAAUAUUCUGUACUCUGCCAUUUUUUUUAUGUCCAAGAUGCAUUAUCUUGCACUUAUCCACAUUAAAUGUCAGUUGCC
Non-coding RNA from Pelobates cultripes (western spadefoot toad), 449 nucleotides. The record is from the annotation of a GenBank genome assembly. Lineage: Eukaryota; Metazoa; Chordata; Amphibia; Anura; Pelobatidae.